CCGACGGUGAGGGGCGAAAGCUGGGGGAGCAAACCGGAUUAGAUACCCGGGUAGUCCCAGCCGUAAACGAUGUGCGUUAGGUGUAUCGGUGACCACGAGUCACCGAGGUGCCGAAGAGAAAUCGUGAAACGUACCGCCUGGGAAGUACGGUCGCAAGGCUGAAACUUAAAGGAAUUGGCGGGGGAGCACCACAACAGGUGGAGCCUGCGGUUUAAUCGGACUCAACGCCGGAAAACUCACCAGAUAA
This 247-nucleotide ribosomal RNA is filed under the name uncultured archaeon. RNAcentral describes it as "partial 16S ribosomal RNA". It matches the Rfam family "Archaeal small subunit ribosomal RNA", at positions 691 to 937 of the family's 1478-position model. The record is from RNAcentral.